AGAGUUUGAUCCUGGCUCAGAACGAACGCUGGCGGCAGGCCUAACACAUGCAAGUCGAGCGAGGGGUAACCCUAGCGGCGGACGGGUGAGUAACGCGUGGGAACGUGCCCUUUGCUACGGAAUAGCCCUGGGAAACUGGGAGUAAUACCGUAUGAGCCCUUUGGGGGAAAGAUUUAUCGGCAAAGGAUCGGCCCGCGUUGGAUUAGGUAGUUGGUGGGGUAAUGGCCUACCAAGCCGACGAUCCAUAGCUGGUUUGAGAGGAUGAUCAGCCACACUGGGACUGAGACACGGCCCAGACUCCUACGGGAGGCAGCAGUGGGGAAUCUUAGACAAUGGGCGCAAGCCUGAUCUAGCCAUGCCGCGUGAGCGAUCAAGGCCUUAGGGUUGUAAAGCUCUUUCAGGGGGGAAGAUAAUGACUGUACCCCCAGAAGAAGCCCCGGCUAACUCCGUGCCAGCAGCCGCGGUAAUACGGAGGGGGCUAGCGUUGUUCGGAAUUACUGGGCGUAAAGCGCACGUAGGCGGACUGGAAAGUCAGGGGUGAAAUCCCGGAG
RNAcentral lists this ribosomal RNA (551 nucleotides) under uncultured freshwater bacterium. RNAcentral describes it as "bacterial SSU rRNA". It matches the Rfam family "Bacterial small subunit ribosomal RNA", at positions 8 to 607 of the family's 1533-position model. The record is from RNAcentral.